GACGAACGCUGGCGGCGUGCUUAACACAUGCAAGUCGAGCGGUAAGGCCCUUUCGGGGGUACACGAGCGGCGAACGGGUGAGUAACACGUGGGUGACCUGCCCUUAGCUCUGGGAUAAGCCUGGGAAACUGGGUCUAAUACCGGAUAUGACUCCAUGACGCAUGUUGUGGGGUGAAAGCCUUGUGCGGCUAGGGAUGGGCCCGCGGCCUAUCAGCUUGUUGGUGGGGUNAUGGCCCACCAAGGCGACGACGGGUAGCCGGCCUGAGAGGGCGACCGGCCACACUGGGACUGAGACACGGCCCAGACUCCUACGGGAGGCAGCAGUGGGGAAUCCUGCGCAAUGGGCGAAAGCCUGACGCAGCGACGCCGCGUGAGGGAUGACGGCCU
Molecule: ribosomal RNA, 387 nt
Filed under: uncultured bacterium
Lineage: Bacteria
Description: bacterial SSU rRNA
Rfam family: Bacterial small subunit ribosomal RNA
Source: RNAcentral